AGAACGAACGCUGGCGGCAGGCUUAACACAUGCAAGUCGAACGCGUGUAGCAAUACACGAGUGGCGCACGGGUGAGUAACACGUGGAUAUCUGCCUUUUGGUUCGGGAUAACCCUGGGAAACUAGGGCUAAUACCGAAUGGUUCCUACGGGAUAAAGAUUUAUCGCCAAAAGAUGAGUCCGCGUCCGAUUAGCUAGUUGGUGAGGUAAUGGCUCACCAAGGCGACGAUCGGUAGCUGGUCUGAGAGGACGAUCAGCCACACUGGGACUGAGACACGGCCCAGACUCCUACGGGAGGCAGCAGUGGGGAAUAUUGGACAAUGGGGGCAACCCUGAUCCAGCCAUGCCGCGUGAGUGAUGAAGGCCUUCGGGUUGUAAAGCUCUUUUGGCGGGGACGAUGAUGACGGUACCCGCAGAAUAAGCCCGGCUAACUUCGUGCCAGCAGCCGC
This 447-nucleotide ribosomal RNA is filed under the name uncultured bacterium. RNAcentral's name for it is "SSU rRNA". It matches the Rfam family "Bacterial small subunit ribosomal RNA", at positions 26 to 518 of the family's 1533-position model. The record is from RNAcentral.